UUUAAGCACGCAAUCCUCUGCUGCAAUAAUAGUGGGUUGGACAAUAGGGUUGGAAGGCAGUGAUGGGGGUGGCACCAUAGGGUGUUUAUCAAAAAGAGCUUUCAUGGUCGAUUCUAUUCUCCAAAGGGGGCAACCCCACUGGAACAUAAAACUUUGACCGCCGCCGUAAAAUGCCCAUCCCUGACCUUCCGCAGGCAUUGCUUGAUAUUGGGGUCCUUU
RNAcentral lists this long non-coding RNA (219 nucleotides) under Helianthus annuus (common sunflower). RNAcentral describes it as "sRNA HanXRQr2_Chr11g0501601". Lineage: Eukaryota; Viridiplantae; Streptophyta; Magnoliopsida; Asterales; Asteraceae. The record is from RNAcentral.